This 187-nucleotide ribosomal RNA is filed under the name uncultured bacterium. Its description in RNAcentral is "partial 16S ribosomal RNA". It matches the Rfam family "Bacterial small subunit ribosomal RNA", at positions 1314 to 1500 of the family's 1533-position model. The record is from RNAcentral.
GCCUACAUGAAGCCGGAAUUGCUAGUAAUGGCAGGUCAGCAUACUGCCGUGAAUACGUUCCCGGGCCUUGUACACACCGCCCGUCACACCAUGAGAGUUGGGGAUACCCGAAGCCUGUGAGCCAACUGUAAAGAGGCAGCAGUCGAAGGUAGAAUCAAUGAUUGGGGUGAAGUCGUAACAAGGUAAC